AACGAACGCUGGCGGCAGGCUUAACACAUGCAAGUCGAGCGGGCCCUUCGGGGUCAGCGGCAGACGGGUGAGUAACGCGUGGGAAUCUACCCAUCCCUACGGAACAACUCCGGGAAACUGGAGCUAAUACCGUAUACGCCCUUAGGGGGAAAGAUUUAUCGGGGAUGGAUGAGCCCGCGUUGGAUUAGCUAGUUGGUGGGGUAAAGGCCUACCAAGGCGACGAUCCAUAGCUGGUCUGAGAGGAUGAUCAGCCACAUUGGGACUGAGACACGGCCCAAAGUCCUACGGGAGGCAGCAGUGGGGAAUAUUGGACAAUGGGCGCAAGCCUGAUCCAGCCAUGCCGCGUGAGUGAUGAAGGCCUUAGGGUUGUAAAGCUCUUUCAGUAGGGAAGAUAAUGACGGUACCUACAGAAGAAGCCCCGGCUAACUUCGUGCCAGCCGCCGCCGUAA
This 449-nucleotide ribosomal RNA is filed under the name uncultured bacterium. RNAcentral describes it as "partial 16S ribosomal RNA". It matches the Rfam family "Bacterial small subunit ribosomal RNA", at positions 29 to 523 of the family's 1533-position model. The record is from RNAcentral.